RNAcentral lists this non-coding RNA (222 nucleotides) under unclassified sequences. RNAcentral's name for it is "PAGEV RNA". It matches the Rfam family "PAGEV RNA". The record is from Rfam by way of RNAcentral.
GCGGGCUUGGAAUCAUGAUGCUGUGGGCCCGCAUCACAGCGCGUCUAAGCGGGUGAUCACGGGGAUCUCCAUCACACCCGCCGGUAUAGCCGCGUCUGCUUAAAGUAGGCCGCAUGGGGAAGCUCGCAUUGCUCCAAGCGCUCCGAAUUUUAUAGAGUAAGACGCGCCGCACGCCGUGGAGGGGUGAUUCGUGUUGGACGAAUCAGAAGGUGCGGGACGCCG